Long non-coding RNA from Cygnus olor (mute swan), 680 nucleotides. RefSeq lists it as uncharacterized. NCBI's taxonomy places the organism in Eukaryota, Metazoa, Chordata, Aves, Anseriformes, Anatidae. The transcript has 5 exons. The record is from RefSeq and is a predicted model, not a curated record.
CAAAGACCAGAGUCUGCAUAAGUUCUUCAGAACAAUAUUAGUUUUAACAGACUGCACUUGAUGAUACAAAGGAAUCCGAGUCACAGAACAUUCCCUGGAUUCUAAAAGUGAAUACUGCAACAUGCACUCAGAAGAAUUCAAUUUAUAACCAUGAAAAGAGAAUGAUCAACUCCACAUCCAGCUCAACAGUAUAUAUGUACACCUGCCAACAGCCAAGGAAGCAGGAAAUCUGUUAGACUGCCCCACCAGAAGACAACUCAGAGGCCAGCUAACCUGCAGUGCUGUAGGAGCAGACAGUAAAAUAAUGCUAAGGAAAAUGGUCACAGAAGCCUUUAGGAGAAGUCUAGUAACCACAGAAAGUGAAAGUGUGUUGUUUAAAAAAAGAAGAAGAGAAGGAAUUAAAGUAUAUAAGACAACACAAGGUACCACUGAUGCUUUGUGGAAGAUUUGAUUGCUGGGCUCCGUAUGUGGAAUAUGAGAUUUGGACUUCAACUGAAUGGGACUGGAGUUUUCAUAGACUUCAAGGUUACAGUGAAGUUUUCCUAAAACUCCACUAAUUCAGGGAAGCUCCAAGGGCAGGAGUGACCUUUACUCUUGAAACUGAAGUGGAAGAGAAAUAGGCAAUCUCCUUUGGCUUUACAGUGAAGUAUUUAUUGCCAUGAGCUGCCCUGUUUUGGUUG